UUCGCAAUGCCCGAAAGGGUGACGAAGCGACGCCGCGUGUGGGAAGAAGGCCUUCGGGUUGUAAACCACUGUCGGGAGUUAAGAAAUGCAAGGGUGCUAAUAGUAUCCUUGCUUGACUAAGGCUCCGGAGGAAGCCACGGCUAACUCUGUGCCAGCAGCCGCGGUAAUACAGAGGCGGCAAGCGUUGUUCGGAAUCACUGGGCUUAAAGGGCACGUAGGCGGGGGGAUAAAUCAAGGGUGAAAUCCCAAUUCUCAAUGUUGGAACUGCCCUUGAAAAUGUCCUUCUUGAGUGCAGGAGGGGAGAGCGGAACUCUUGGUGGAGCGGUGAAAUGCGUAGAUAUCAGAAGGAACGCCGGCGGCGAAAGCGGCUCUCUGGCCCAUAACUGACGCUGAGUGUGCGAAAGCUAGGGGAGCAAACGGGAUUAGAUACCCCGGUAGUCCUAGCCGUAAACGAUGGGCACUAAGUAGAGGGGUUUU
RNAcentral lists this ribosomal RNA (477 nucleotides) under uncultured anaerobic ammonium-oxidizing bacterium. RNAcentral's name for it is "bacterial SSU rRNA". It matches the Rfam family "Bacterial small subunit ribosomal RNA", at positions 365 to 832 of the family's 1533-position model. The record is from RNAcentral.